This 312-nucleotide ribosomal RNA is filed under the name Triticum aestivum (bread wheat). RNAcentral describes it as "partial small subunit ribosomal RNA". Lineage: Eukaryota; Viridiplantae; Streptophyta; Magnoliopsida; Poales; Poaceae. The record is from RNAcentral.
AUGUCUACGUCAGAGGGUUCGGAGACUGCUGAUUCCAUGGAUGAGGAUACGAGUCAAAUACCACAUGUUAGAAGGUCCAAGGUAUGGGAGCAUUAUGAAGUAGAUUUGGUUCUCGUAGAUGGUGAUUUCAAGGCUGUGUGCAAAUAUUGUGGAGCGUAACUUCACACCAAGUUUGGGACUAGCAGUUUGAGGACCCAUAUUGCAGAGGCUUGCCAAUCAAUCCAAGAUGCUUGCAGACAGAGGUUUUUGUUGACCAUGAAAAAAAACCAUCCGAAGGACUGUUUGUGUUUGAUGAAAAAGCAAGGGCAUUGA